This 36-nucleotide small nuclear RNA is filed under the name Mus musculus (house mouse). RNAcentral describes it as "piRNA piR-mmu-68509895". The record is from RNAcentral. RNAcentral also lists the same sequence under 1 other name. Lineage: Eukaryota; Metazoa; Chordata; Mammalia; Rodentia; Muridae.
AUCGCUUCUCGGCCUUUUGGCUAAGGUCAAGUGUAG